GGAAGAUCAGCAAGCAAUGGAGCUUCUUAUGUCCAACAUCCAUGAGAUAUUUGGGGAAAUUGCAGAAGAUCUAAAUACGCUUAUUAGAAUAAAUGAACCCUACGUGGAUGCAAACGGCAGGCCUCACAAAAAUAUUAGAAUCAAGAACACGUAAAUAUUGGAUGAUCCUUUUGAAGAUCCUUCCAACUAGCUGAGUUGAUUCCUGAUGCUUCACUUGAAGGAAAACCAAAAGAUGAGGUAAUAAAUCACUAUAAACUUGCCUUUAAACCACUCUUACACGUGUAUUGUUACUUUUUGGUUUUG
Molecule: long non-coding RNA, 303 nt
Organism: Olea europaea var. sylvestris
Lineage: Eukaryota; Viridiplantae; Streptophyta; Magnoliopsida; Lamiales; Oleaceae
Exons: 3
Source: RefSeq, a predicted model, not a curated record